This 468-nucleotide ribosomal RNA is filed under the name uncultured bacterium. Its description in RNAcentral is "partial 16S ribosomal RNA". It matches the Rfam family "Bacterial small subunit ribosomal RNA", at positions 28 to 507 of the family's 1533-position model. The record is from RNAcentral.
GACGAACGCUGGCGGCGUGCUUAACACAUGCAAGUCGAACGGAAAGGCCCUGCUUUUGUGGGGUGCUCGAGUGGCGAACGGGUGAGUAACACGUGAGUAACCUGCCCUUGACUUUGGGAUAACUUCAGGAAACUGGGGCUAAUACCGGAUAGGAGCUCCUGCUGCAUGGUGGGGGUUGGAAAGUUUCGGCGGUUGGGGAUGGACUCGCGGCUUAUCAGCUUGUUGGUGGGGUAGGGGCUUACCAAGGCUUUGACGGGUAGCCGGCCUGAGAGGGUGACCGGCCACAUUGGGACUGAGAUACGGCACAGACUCCUACGGGAGGCAGCAGUGGGGAAUAUUGCACAAUGGGCGGAAGCCUGAUGCAGCAACGCCGCGUGCGGGAUGACGGCCUUCGGGUUGUAAACCGCUUUCGCCUGUGACGAAGCGUGAGUGACGGUAAUGGGUAAAGAAGCACCGGCUAACUACGUG